Long non-coding RNA from Condylostylus longicornis, 752 nucleotides. RefSeq lists it as uncharacterized. The record is from RefSeq and is a predicted model, not a curated record. Lineage: Eukaryota; Metazoa; Arthropoda; Insecta; Diptera; Dolichopodidae. The transcript is spliced from 3 exons.
ACGAUAAUUUAUCGGCAAAAUUUUGUGUUUGUAUUACCAACAUUGUUUAUCGGUAAAUUUUAUCGGAGUCGGGAAAGCUUUUUUUCCCUGUAUAGGAAACGUAUUAGCUGGUAUUAUGAAAACGAUAAAUUGUCGGGUUUUCACCGAUUUAAAAGCGGGUACAAAUUUUUAGACGACAGAUUUUUUUUUUGUAAAAUCUUCAUUUUAUCAAGGAAACUGGUGUAAUUAAUUGCUUUUUUAAAAUGAGUAAAAUCGUAAGCAACAAAAAACAAAUUGCGCGGUUAGUAGAAAAAAUGGAAGAGGACUUAAACCUGGCAAGGAAUGAUAAUCUGAAAUUCUGGAUAAACCUAAAAAAUGUGUACAUAUUAUAUAAAUAAUAAAAUAAAAUAGGUACAUAAACAUACAUUUUGUUGUCUAAAUCCAAUGGAUUAGUUGAAUCUCUUAUAUGUCGUCUUUGAAUAGCUUGCGUUUCUUCACUUUCAAAAUAUAAUGCACGUGACAUUUUCCCGAUAUAUCACAUCAAAACCAAAUUCAAAAUAGUUUUAAAAAUUUUUUGAAAAUAACUUUUGAAAGAAAACAAAUGUCAUUAGAAAAAAAAACAUUUUCUCCAAUUUACAAAAACAAAAAUUUGUAUGAAAAAGCUUCUUUUAAUCGGUUGAAAUAUUUUUAUCGGUAUCGGUUCAUAAUACAGAAGAAACCCAAAACCGAUGAGAACUGCCGAUAAUAUAUCGGCCGAUACCGAUGUUCAUAAU